AGGGUUGGGCUCUAGCCGGGAGUCGACGAAGGGAGCGCGGGCGGGGAGCGCGGGCGCGCGCCCGCGUCGGCGCACGGAGAGUCGCAUCGGCCGCUCGCUUUCUCGUCUGCCGCCUCGCGCCUCGAUCCUGUUCCGCCUCCCUCGGCCCUCCUGCCCGCCCCCGCUCGUCGGCCCUCAGAUCUUUCUGAGACAUCCCCAGAAAGCGUUGCAAGCUGUGAUUACACCUAAUGUGAGAGCAUGAACUAAUUUAAGAGGUACCUAAAAUGUGUCAUUAUUCAUCAAUUAAUGAAAAACAAAUGAAAAUUUCAGAGAGAUAUUCUGAAGAAUAAAAGGAUCAAGUUGGGUCAUUUCUAAAAUGCAAUUGUAUAAAUACUUCCCACAGCUCAGAGACCUAAUAGGAUGGGGUCUUAGAGAAACAUCUGUUGAGCCACAGACUUCUUUGUUACCAGAAGGAAAAUGAAAGAAGAAAUUUAAAUACCACUUGAAGAGAGUUUCCUCAUCAGCAAAGUCAGAAAAAGUAUGUACCUGAAGGACUGACUGUAAGGCUGGGAUGAGAGAAUCUAUGUGAUCAGCCCUCACCAACAGGUGCUGCCCACUUCAUGAGUGCUGCUGCUGUCCUGCCCAAGUACCCAGCUUGCAGAGUGCCGGAGUUAGAGUCCCAGGGGUGUUCUCCACAGCUGCAUGCUUGAUCCAGGCCUAUCAGCAUUGUCUUUGAAUAUUAGCAAGUAAUGGAACAUGGGCCAAGGGUGAACCAUGAUGAAUUCGUGUUCCAGCAGCCCUGCUUCUUUAGAAUUGACAGUCUGGCUUCGUGGUUAAUUCACAGCAUCUGAGGAAUACAUCAGAAGAGGGUGAUACUGUGGCAUGAUGGUACCAGGAUUCCAAGUUCAUUCCAGUUACCAACAGUUCAUGAUGAUCUUCAGAAAUGUUCACAGUUUCAGAGGAGCCACAUACUUGAAUGUUUAAAGAAAGCAAUAUUUUGCAAAACACAAGGAUGAUCCAAGAGAGCCACAGGAGGAUCCAGCAGCCCUUUGUCGGGAAAUGAAGAUCAUUGGGUAGAGACUGGAAAUGUACCGAGCAGUGCACAAAGAAGAUGAGGAGGGUUCUACAGUUUCUCCAGAUACAUACCAUGACAAUUUUUUUUUUAAAAAAGAAGAAAGCCUGCAGGAAAAAAUCUACAACUUUCAUCAAAUUACUCAGGGAGACUUUAUUCUAAAGAGACUGAAAACCACCGACAUCAAUUUUGACUCCUAUGGGCAUCUGUAAAUAGCUUCAAGAUUUUAAGGUGAAAUGUCAUGUACCAUAAUACACAUUCUGGAGAAGCAGGAAGCUACAGGCUAACUUGAGAUGAAAGUCUCAGAUCAACGUUUUCCCAAGUGUGUUCCUUGGAAUACAGGUUGACAUGAUAUGAUGCCCAGCAAGGGAAACAAAACAUAUUCAUGUUCAAAUUAGUUGGGGAAAUGCUGGACUAAAUAAGGUUUGAUGAGAUUCUUUUUUCUGCAGGACUUCUCAGAGCCUUUAAUAUUCUAACAUGCUUCGUGACUCUCUAGAAGGGGCUACAGUAGGCAAUGCUUCCCAGAUUUACCUAAUAAAAGCAUUGUUUCUGUGGGAGUUUCAUUUGUUAUUACAUGUUUCCUGAAUGCAGAUUCAUAGAUUAUCCGUUGGGGAACCCUCAUCCUCACGGGAUGUAUGUUCAUGGUGGUGUCUUCAAAUUUGUGCCCUUGUGAAGCAUUCUGGCAGCAAGCAUCUGAACACUUCCAAAAGGGGACGAUAUUUAGGAGAAAUCGCUCAGCCUGAGUUAGAGCAAAUACAGCAGCUGGUGUCUCUUGGUGCCUGGGAGCCCUAGAGUGUCAGAGGGAGGAGCGUGCACACUGGAACCAGCAGCCUGGUGCUGUGUCUCAGCUCUGUCGCUAACUGGCUAUGCACCUCUGGGCAUGGCACUUAACCCUUCUGAGCCCCAGCCUGCCAUCUGUAAAAAGGGCUUGAUGCGAGGAUUGAAUGAGAUCACGCAGGGAACACAAUGUCUGGCACUUGGAAGCAUCCACCAUAAAGAGUCAAGGCAGUAGAUGGCCCAUCUGGGUUUGGUCUAUGCAAAGUUUACCCUCUGCCCUGGUGGCUCCAGGAAAUGCUGCCACGUGGCUCCUAUUGCCUUAACCACAUCCGACCUGUUCCUGACAGCUCCCCACAUCUCCAGCUCCUUUGCUGGUGCUCCAGGCACCUCCAAAUGUGGCAAGCCCCUCUCCUCUGCCCUCUUGUGGCAGCUGACCUGGCAGGAGUGGUACCAAGACGUCCAAGGCGACUCCUUCCCACCUGCAUGGGCACUUUCCUUAGGACAUCCUUGCCCCCAGCACCACCUUGGGCCAGCAAGCCACAUGGAAAUGGAUGCAGAGGCACCACUGUUUGCUGACAAUUAUACACUGUCCUUAAGGUCACCCUUGGCGAUCUGUCGCCAGGAGCAGACAAACCCGCACCGCAUCCAUCCCAUCAGAGCUUGUUUCUAUCUGCAUCUGUCAUCGCUGAUCGAAUUUGAAUGGGUUUAGUCUCUAUUUUAAA
This is a long non-coding RNA of Pongo pygmaeus (Bornean orangutan), 2550 nucleotides long. RefSeq lists it as uncharacterized. The transcript is spliced from 9 exons. The record is from RefSeq and is a predicted model, not a curated record. Lineage: Eukaryota; Metazoa; Chordata; Mammalia; Primates; Hominidae.